Molecule: ribosomal RNA, 193 nt
Filed under: uncultured marine eukaryote
Lineage: Eukaryota
Description: partial 18S ribosomal RNA
Rfam family: Eukaryotic small subunit ribosomal RNA
Source: RNAcentral
AACCUGGUUGAUCCUGCCAGUAGUCAUAUGCUUGUCUCAAAGACUAAGCCAUGCACGUCUAAGUACAAACUAAAUGAUGGUGAAACUGCAAAUGGCUCAUUACAACGGUUAUGAUGUACCCGGGAGUUCCGAUGGAUAUUUCCCAGUAACACUAGAACUAAUACCAUGUCCCUGCGUUUUAUUAGUUUCGCAC